Microcebus murinus (gray mouse lemur) is the source of this 103-nucleotide microRNA precursor. The record is from Ensembl. Lineage: Eukaryota; Metazoa; Chordata; Mammalia; Primates; Cheirogaleidae.
ACCUUCUUGUAUAAGCACUGUGCUAAAAUUGCAGAAACUAGGACUAUGUCUUGGUUUUUGUAAUAAUGCUAGCAGAGUACACACAGGAAGAAAAGUAACUGCA